This 121-nucleotide non-coding RNA is filed under the name Rhodococcus sp. WAY2. Its description in RNAcentral is "Glycine". The stretch from base 1 to 106 matches the Rfam family "Glycine riboswitch aptamer". From Rfam's summary of the family: This family represents the bacterial glycine riboswitch. Glycine riboswitches usually consist of two metabolite-binding aptamers domains with similar structures in tandem. The record is from RNAcentral. Lineage: Bacteria; Bacillati; Actinomycetota; Actinomycetes; Mycobacteriales; Nocardiaceae.
CGACGUCUCUGGAAAGCGGUGGGAGCACCCACCCGCCCACGGGGAAAGGGCCCGUCCACACCUGGACGCCGGUACCGAAUCUCUCAGGCGCUCGAACGCGAGCAGGCGACAGAGGGGGAGG